GAGUUUGAUCGUGGCUCAGAUUGAGCGCUGGCGGCAUGCCUUACACAUGCAAGUCGAACGGCAGCAUGAUCUAGCUUGCUAGAUUGAUGGCGAGUGGCGAACGGGUGAGUAAUACAUCGGAACGUGCCCUGUAGUGGGGGAUAACUAGUCGAAAGAUAGCUAAUACCGCAUACGACCUGAGGGUGAAAGUGGGGGACCGCAAGGCCUCAUGCUAUAGGAGCGGCCGAUGUCUGAUUAGCUAGUUGGCGGGGUAAAGGCCCACCAAGGCGACGAUCAGUAGCUGGUCUGAGAGGACGAUCAGCCACACUGGGACUGAGACACGGCCCAGACUCCUACGGGAGGCAGCAGUGGGGAAUUUUGGACAAUGGGCGAAAGCCUGAUCCAGCAAUGCCGCGUGUGUGAAGAAGGCCU
This 411-nucleotide ribosomal RNA is filed under the name uncultured microorganism. RNAcentral's name for it is "bacterial SSU rRNA". It matches the Rfam family "Bacterial small subunit ribosomal RNA", at positions 9 to 417 of the family's 1533-position model. The record is from RNAcentral.